UACGGGGGGGGCAAGCGUUGUUCGGAAUUACUGGGCGUAAAGGGUUCGUAGGUGGCCAACUAAGUCAGACGUGAAAUCCCUCAGCUCAACUGGGGAACUGCGUCUGAUACUGGUCGGCUUGAGUGCAGGAGAGGAACGCGGAAUUCCAGGUGUAGCGGUGAAAUGCGUAGAUAUCUGGAGGAACACCGGUGGCGAAGGCGGCGUUCUGGACUGCAACUGACACUGAGAGACGAAAGCCAGGGGAGCAAACGGG
Molecule: ribosomal RNA, 253 nt
Filed under: uncultured bacterium
Lineage: Bacteria
Description: partial 16S ribosomal RNA
Rfam family: Bacterial small subunit ribosomal RNA
Source: RNAcentral